GACCUGGUGGUGAGGGGUAUUACAUCCGCACUCAGAACAUAUACUAUGUUCAUUUGUUUGUGGAGGGUCCUGGUUCGAUUCCAGGCUAAGUAG
Molecule: non-coding RNA, 93 nt
Organism: Mycena vulgaris
Lineage: Eukaryota; Fungi; Basidiomycota; Agaricomycetes; Agaricales; Mycenaceae
Source: the annotation of a GenBank genome assembly